AGUGAACGCUGGCGGUAGGCCUAACACAUGCAAGUCGAACGGCAGCACAGUAAGAGCUUGCUCUUACGGGUGGCGAGUGGCGGACGGGUGAGGAAUACAUCGGAAUCUACUUUUUCGUGGGGGAUAACGUAGGGAAACUUACGCUAAUACCGCAUACGACCUACGGGUGAAAGCAGGGGAUCUUCGGACCUUGCGCGAUUGAAUGAGCCGAUGUCGGAUUAGCUAGUUGGCGGGGUAAAGGCCCACCAAGGCGACGAUCCGUAGCUGGUCUGAGAGGAUGAUCAGCCACACUGGAAAUGAGACAAGGUCCAGACUCCUAAGGGAGGCAGCAGUGGGGAAUAUUGGACAAUGGGCGCAAGCCUGAACCAGCCAUACCGCGUGGGUGAAGAAGGCCUUCGGGUUGGAAAGCCCUUUUGUUGGGAAAGAAAAGCAGCAGGUUAAUACCCCGCUGUUCUGAAGGUACCCAAAGAAUAAGCACAGGCUAAAUUCGUG
RNAcentral lists this ribosomal RNA (492 nucleotides) under uncultured bacterium. Its description in RNAcentral is "partial 16S ribosomal RNA". It matches the Rfam family "Bacterial small subunit ribosomal RNA", at positions 29 to 507 of the family's 1533-position model. The record is from RNAcentral.